AACUAAUAUACCUCAAAGCAGAGAUGCAUUUGAACGCGUUCUGUUCAUGUUCUGUUCAAAGCUUGUGCUCACGAGAGCUGUGUUCAAGUUCAAACAAUGUGCGUUGUUUGAUCACAGUACUCUGUUCAUCUCGUGGCAACCGUUUCCGUCAUUCAUUGUUUCCCUCAAACAAAUCCAGACAUACACAAAUAAUCGUAUACAUCGUUGAUUGAUUUGUGGAAAGCAUCAUAUACCUAUUUGUUAAUACUAAAAUAACGCCCAAAAAUCGACAAAACAAGAUGAGCCCAACGAUAGCAGUAUUCAAGACGAUAUCUAUAAUAUUGCUCAUUCCAGACCCACAUUCGAGUGCUCGUGAACACAUUCUGUCAAGAUAUACGAAUUUUUAGAUAGUUUCAAUAUGUUUAAAUAAAAAAUGUGCAAUUCAA
Molecule: long non-coding RNA, 425 nt
Organism: Aedes aegypti (yellow fever mosquito)
Lineage: Eukaryota; Metazoa; Arthropoda; Insecta; Diptera; Culicidae
Exons: 2
Source: RefSeq, a predicted model, not a curated record